This 422-nucleotide ribosomal RNA is filed under the name bacterium. Its description in RNAcentral is "partial 16S ribosomal RNA". It matches the Rfam family "Bacterial small subunit ribosomal RNA", at positions 355 to 776 of the family's 1533-position model. The record is from RNAcentral.
UGGGGAAUUUUGCACAAUGGGCGCAAGCCUGAUGCAGCGACGCCGCGUGAGGGAUGAAGGCCUUCGGGUUGUAAACCUUUUUCGCUCAUGGUCAAGCCGCAGCUUUGGGUUGUGGUGAGGGUAGUGGGUAAAGAAGCGCCGGCUAACUACGUGCCAGCAGCCGCGGUAAUACGUAGGGCGCGAGCGUUGUCCGGAAUUAUUGGGCGUAAAGGGCUUGUAGGCGGUUGGCCGCGUCUGCCGUGAAAUCCUCUGGCUUAACUGGGGGCGUGCGGUGGGUACGGGUUGACUUGAGUGCGGUAGGGGAGACUGGAAUUCCUGGUGUAGCGGUGGAAUGCGCAGAUAUAAGGAGGAACACCGGUGGCGAAGGCGGGUCUCUGGGCCGUUACUGACGCUGAGGAGCGAAAGCGUGGGGAGCGAACAGG